RNAcentral lists this ribosomal RNA (460 nucleotides) under uncultured bacterium. RNAcentral's name for it is "partial 16S ribosomal RNA". It matches the Rfam family "Bacterial small subunit ribosomal RNA", at positions 338 to 795 of the family's 1533-position model. The record is from RNAcentral.
CCUACGGGAGGCUGCAGUGAGGAAUAUUGGUCAAUGGGCGCAAGCCUGAACCAGCCAAGUCGCGUGAGGGAUGACGGUCCUAUGGAUUGUAAACCUCUUUUGUCGGGGAGCAAGGCCCGCCACGUGUGGCGGGAAGGAGAGUACCCGAAGAAAAAGCAUCGGCUAACUCCGUGCCAGCAGCCGCGGUAAUACGGAGGAUGCGAGCGUUAUCCGGAUUUAUUGGGUUUAAAGGGUGCGUAGGCGGAAGGUUAAGUCAGCGGUAAAAUGUCGGUGCUCAACACCGGCCUGCCGUUGAAACUGGUCUUCUUGAGUGAGCGAGAAGUAUGCGGAAGGCGUGGUGUAGCGGUGAAAUGCAUAGAUAUCACGCAGAACUCCGAUUGCGAAGGCAGCAUACCGGCGCUCAACUGACGCUGAGGCACGAAAGCGUGGGGAUCGAACAGGAUUAGAUACCCGAGUAGUC